RNAcentral lists this ribosomal RNA (1425 nucleotides) under uncultured organism. RNAcentral describes it as "16S ribosomal RNA". It matches the Rfam family "Bacterial small subunit ribosomal RNA". The record is from RNAcentral.
CACAUGCAAGUCGAACGGAAAGGCCCUGCUUUUGUGGGGUGCUCGAGUGGCGAACGGGUGAGUAACACGUGAGUAACCUGCCCUUGACUUUGGGAUAACUUCAGGAAACUGGGGCUAAUACCGGAUAGGAGCUCCUGCUGCAUGGUGGGGGUUGGAAAGUUUCGGCGGUUGGGGAUGGACUCGCGGCUUAUCAGCUUGUUGGUGGGGUAGUGGCUUACCAAGGCUUUGACGGGUAGCCGGCCUGAGAGGGUGACCGGCCACAUUGGGACUGAGAUACGGCCCAGACUCCUACGGGAGGCAGCAGUGGGGAAUAUUGCACAAUGGGCGGAAGCCUGAUGCAGCAACGCCGCGUGCGGGAUGACGGCCUUCGGGUUGUAAACCGCUUUCGCCUGUGACGAAGCGUGAGUGACGGUAAUGGGUAAAGAAGCACCGGCUAACUACGUGCCAGCAGCCGCGGUGAUACGUAGGGUGCGAGCGUUGUCCGGAUUUAUUGGGCGUAAAGGGCUCGUAGGUGGUUGAUCGCGUCGGAAGUGUAAUCUUGGGGCUUAACCCUGAGCGUGCUUUCGAUACGGGUUGACUUGAGGAAGGUAGGGGAGAAUGGAAUUCCUGGUGGAGCGGUGGAAUGCGCAGAUAUCAGGAGGAACACCAGUGGCGAAGGCGGUUCUCUGGGCCUUUCCUGACGCUGAGGAGCGAAAGCGUGGGGAGCGAACAGGCUUAGAUACCCUGGUAGUCCACGCUGUAAACGGUGGGUACUAGGUGUGGGGUCCAUUCCACGGGUUCCGUGCCGUAGCUAACGCUUUAAGUACCCCGCCUGGGGAGUACGGCCGCAAGGCUAAAACUCAAAGGAAUUGACGGGGCCCCGCACAAGCGGCGGAGCAUGCGGAUUAAUUCGAUGCAACGCGUAGAACCUUACCUGGGUUUGACAUGGAUCGGGAGUGCUCAGAGAUGGGUGUGCCUCUUUUGGGGUCGGUUCACAGGUGGUGCAUGGCUAUCGUCAGCUCGUGUCGUGAGAUGUUGGGUUAAGUCCCGCAACGAGCGCAACCCUUGUUCACUGUUGCCAGCACGUUAUGGUGGGGACUCAGUGGAGACCGCCGGGGUCAACUCGGAGGAAGGUGGGGAUGACGUCAAGUCAUCAUGCCCCUUAUGUCCAGGGCUUCACGCAUGCUACAAUGGCUGGUACAGAGAGUGGCGAGCCUGUGAGGGUGAGCGAAUCUCGGAAAGCCGGUCUCAGUUCGGAUUGGGGUCUGCAACUCGACCUCAUGAAGUCGGAGUCGCUAGUAAUCGCAGAUCAGCAACGCUGCGGUGAAUACGUUCCCGGGGCUUGUACACACCGCCCGUCAAGUCAUGAAAGUUGGUAACACCCGAAGCCGGUGGCCUAACCGUUGUGGGGGAGCCGUCGAAGGUGGGACUGGUGAUUAGGACUAA